CCUACGGGAGGCAGCAGUAGGGAAUCUUCCGCAAUGGACGAAAGUCUGAACGGAGCAACGCCGCGUGAAGCGAUGAAGGCUUUGCGGGUNGUAAAGUUCUGUUGUGCAGGGAAGAACAAGUACC
This 124-nucleotide ribosomal RNA is filed under the name uncultured Bacillus sp. RNAcentral's name for it is "partial 16S ribosomal RNA". It matches the Rfam family "Bacterial small subunit ribosomal RNA", at positions 338 to 457 of the family's 1533-position model. Lineage: Bacteria; Bacillati; Bacillota; Bacilli; Caryophanales; Bacillaceae. The record is from RNAcentral.